This 481-nucleotide ribosomal RNA is filed under the name uncultured bacterium. RNAcentral describes it as "partial 16S ribosomal RNA". It matches the Rfam family "Bacterial small subunit ribosomal RNA", at positions 29 to 507 of the family's 1533-position model. The record is from RNAcentral.
ACGAACGCUGGCGGCGUGCUUAACCCAUGCCAGUCGAACGCUGAAGCUCAGCUUGCUGGGUGGAUGAGUGGCGAACGGGUGAGUAACACGUGAGUAACCUGCCCUCUUCUUUGGGAUAACGCCCGGAAACGGGUGCUAAUACUGGAUAUUCACUGAUUCUCGCAUGGGGGUUGGUGGAAAGGUUUUUUCUGGUGGGGGAUGGGCUCGCGGCCUAUCAGCUUGUUGGUGGGGUGAUGGCCUACCAAGGCUUUGACGGGUAGCCGGCCUGAGAGGGUGACCGGUCACAUUGGGACUGAGAUACGGCCCAGACUCCUACGGGAGGCAGCAGUGGGGAAUAUUGCACAAUGGGCGAAAGCCUGAUGCAGCGACGCCGCGUGAGGGAUGGAGGCCUUCGGGGUGUAAACCUCUUUCGCUCAUGGUCAAGCCGCAGCUUUGGGUUGUGGUGAGGGUAGUGGGUAAAGAAGCGCCGGCUAACUACGUG